RNAcentral lists this ribosomal RNA (371 nucleotides) under uncultured bacterium. Its description in RNAcentral is "bacterial SSU rRNA". It matches the Rfam family "Bacterial small subunit ribosomal RNA", at positions 527 to 896 of the family's 1533-position model. The record is from RNAcentral.
GGAGGGUGCGAGCGUUGUCCGGAAUCACUGGGCGUAAAGGGCGCGUAGGUGGCUCGUGAAGCGUGCGGUGAAAGUCCGAGGCUCAACCUCGGAUCGGCCGUGCGGACUCGCGGGCUCGAGCGUUGUAGAGGCGGGUGGAAUUCCGGGUGUAGCGGUGGAAUGCGUAGAGAUCCGGAAGAACACCGGCGGCGAAGGCGGCCCGCUGGGCAACUGCUGACACUGAUGCGCGACAGCGUGGGGAGCAAACAGGAUUAGAUACCCUGGUAGUCCACGCCGUAAACGAUGAGAACUAGGUGUCGUGGGUGUUGACCCCCGCGGUGCCGUAGCUAACGCAUUAAGUUCUCCGCCUGGGAAGUACGGUCGCAAGACUA